Colius striatus (speckled mousebird) is the source of this 68-nucleotide microRNA precursor. It matches the Rfam family "mir-338 microRNA precursor family". Lineage: Eukaryota; Metazoa; Chordata; Aves; Coliiformes; Coliidae. The record is from Rfam.
CUAGCAACACUAUCCUGGUGCUGUCAGAGUAAGUGGUAAAGCUCCAGCAUCAGUGAUUUUGUUGUUAG